AAAAAUUUAGUUAAAAAUAUAACAUUAGUUUGUCAAACUAAAAUUAUUUCAAAAGAAAUAAUUUUUA
This 67-nucleotide transfer RNA is filed under the name Onthophagus minutus. Its description in RNAcentral is "tRNA-Asp". The record is from RNAcentral. Lineage: Eukaryota; Metazoa; Arthropoda; Insecta; Coleoptera; Scarabaeidae.